UUUUUUUUUUUUGAAAUUUUUUAAUUAUGAAUGCAUGGUAAAGGAACAAAAGAAAAAUCUUUUUGAUGUUUUUGAGAAAAUGAGUGCGAAAGGUAAAAAAAUCUUUUUGAAUUUUUGGAUUGUGAAAAACAAAAGCCAUAAAAAACUCUAAAAACUAUGAAACUCUUUUUUUUUUCGGCUCACUUUUUCUUUCUUUUUCCUCUCUUUUGUUUUUCUUGUCUAUACACUUUCUUUAAUUCUAGCACAUGCUUUCCCCAAAUCAGUCCGUCAAAUGACCCUGUUACCCUAAAAAAAAAUACAACAAUUAGUACGUAGGGAUGCUUUAGAGGAGAGUCUCCUACAAAGGACCAACUGGGCCCCACUAGAUCUCAAUAUGAUGCACAUAAGUAUGACCUAAAGGCUAACCUACGUUGGAGUUUACUAAUAUUUGGUCGAUAGUGGCUUCUUUGCUUUCCACCUACUCCAUACAUCCAACGGCUCUCCCUCCUAAAAUAAGGGUGACUCAACUAGAGUUUGUGCGCACGACGUCCACUCUGGGACUUGUUACAGAAAGAAUUGACUCGAGUUAUGUACAUGAUGCCAGAUAUAAAGCGGUAACACACAAGAGAAAAACUGUAAACAAUAGCACUCAAUAAUGAUAAAAUAAACAAUAAACGAUAACACAAACAAUGUUUAUACACUCAUAGUGUCAAAUUAAGCCGAUACAACUCCAAAAAUAAGCUUGAAUUCUGGAAAUUUACCAGCAGAGUCUCCAGAGCUGUCACACCCUCUUUUUAACUCCAAAAGAUUAGAUUUUAAGUUUCGAAAGGGUUUUUAUCAUUAAAGUGACAAAAUAAAGAUAAUUUAUUUCGAAAAGGAUUAUUAUUUUCAUUCAAACUUAGAGUCGUCAAUUGGCAUAAAUCGGGUGUGACAAGUCACCUUUGAAAAUCCUUUUUCAAAACGGUUUGACUCUAAAAUUGAUCCGCGAACAGAGAUUCUUGCUAAGAAAUUCUGUUGACCGAGGAAAAGGUGUUAGGUACCCCUCGUUCCCAUGGUUCGACCACGAUCACUUGGUAGAGCGUAUCGUCUAAUUUGACACUACGAAUGUAUAAAACACAUAACACAUAAAACAACCAAACCAAACAAACGAAAAAUUUAAAAGUUAAUGUCCAGUCCAAUUAUUACAAACUCAAAAUAAAAUAUAUAAAAUAAAUGCAAAAAAAAAUAAAAUCUAUUCUAACCUAUACUAAUUCUAACUAUGCUCUAUGCUUUACCCGACGCUUUGAGCCUUGAUCAUGAACCAUCUUCAAAUACAUAAUACGUCGGGGCAUUUCCCGAUGACUAAAUACAUAAAACCUCGGGGCAUUUCUCGACCAAAUGGAUACACUUGAAUCAGAUAUGAUAAACUAGAAAAACAUUCAACACAUAUUCCACAUUCAAACAUUCGAUCAAAAAAAACCUUAGUCCUAAAUUUGUCUACCCGAACCUACAUUGGCCUAUUAAUUUCAACAUAUUAUAAUUAUAUCACGUUCUGACAAUAUUCAUGCUUAUUUCAAAUUUAAACAAAACAACAAUACACCAAAAUUGAUCGAUAUUCACCCAUUUUUGCAAAUUUCUCAAUUUCUCCCUAAAUUCCUUUUUAACACUAAUUUUCCUUAAUUCACGAUGUCUAUUUCAAUGAAAUUAAGCAACAAGUUAAUAUCAAAGUAGCCAUUCAUUACCAAUCAAGAUCAAACAACACACAGAUUUCAUCCAAUGCACCAUAUUCCAUCAACAAUGAAAUAAAAAGAGGAAAGGAGUAGAAAUAGGCCUCAAUGAUAAAUUUAUUCCAAAUAUCAGUCAAUUGAGAGGAUGAAUCCGCAUGCCGAAGAACCCCGACUCAGCCUCGACAACUCGACCAACUCGAUAUCAAAAAUUACGAUCCGAAUAGAUUUGAAUCCAAGACCACAAACUCAAUAUAUACUGCCUAACCAACUAAUUUUAACAAAAUCCAUAAACCCCCCAAAGAUGAAAUUCCGAUCUCAAAAUCCAAGAGCCAAAUAAACUCAGAUUGAAACAAAUCGACGACAGAUGGCAAUCCGACACUAGACGGAUGACAAGAAAACCUUAAAAUGAUCGACACCAUCUCAGUAUCAUAACCCAAUGACUCGAACAGAAAUCAAACAUACAAAAAUCGUGAUGAAGAAAGACAGACUAGUCGAGUUUGGAUCGAAUUUGGGGUAUUCUCGAUAGUCACGGUGCUCUGGUGGUUCAGAGGCGGCGGGAUGGUGUAUGACGGUUGGUGGGUGUAUCAGGCUCACUAGUGGCGCCGGAUUCCGGCGAAGUUUCGCCAGAAAAUUGGAGUGGCGUGACCGGUUUCUCUCCCCGUCCUUCUCUAAAUGGCCGAGCUCUCUCUCACUCGAACUUUGAUCCCUCGAUCUGUCUUAUUUCAGGCCAACUCACUCAUCUCUCUUUUCUUUUUGAUUUCCCUCCAUAUGUGUGUGUAACCUAUCUCUCAGUGAGUGUGCGUAUGGUCUACCGAAAAAAUGGAGUGUGUGUUCAUGGUUUUUUCCAUUGAUGAUGCUGGUUGUGUUUUUUAUAGAAAAAAAUGGCUACUGUGUGUUUCUAGUGGUGGACCCCGCCUGGGAUUGUCUAGAAUCUGAUGGAUAAUCUCUAUGUAUUUAUUUUGUGUAGUGGGGAAAAAGAAAUGUGCCAAGGGUGGGGUAUGCGGGUAUGGGAUUAGGGAGGUGGGUAGGGUAGUGGUGAGGUGUAAACAAUUAGUUAGGAUAAGAUUAAAUUUGUUAUGGAUUUAAUUACUUUUGUAUUUUUGUGGGGUGUUAUCACAUGGGUGAGGGUAUGUAGUAAGGUGAGCUAAAAAUGAAAAAAAUUCAAUUUUGAGAGGGACAAAAUUAGAUGUCUACAAAUAGUCUCUAGAUUUAAGUUAAUCAUGAUCUUUGGCUUAUUAUGUUUAUCACUCUCUUUUGCCUUGCCCUAAUGUCUAUUUUGGAACAUGAGCAUUGUUGAAAGGAUGUUUUGAUUAGUUUGUUGUCAUUACAUGUUUAAGGAUUUGUACAUUUAUUGCCUGCUUAUGAAUGAGUUUUUAUUGCAUCGUGUGUUUUACAUCAACUCAAUAAAUGCAUUAGAAUGAGGGGAAGUUUUAUACACAAGCCUUUGUUCUUGUGUACAGAGAAUUUUGGGUGGCAUACUAUCAGGCAAGUUGGUGACUGUUGGGGGAUUUUAGAGUACUUGAAAAGUAAUUAAUAAUAACGAUUUAGUUCCUUGGAUGAUUACCAAAUUUAUGAACAAUAUUUUAUCAAAGUUACUUUUGUUUUUUAGAACGAUGAAAUCGCUCAACUUAUGGGAAUGUUCUAUCAAAGUCACUUUAGGAAAGCCUUUAUCUUGAAAUUAAUUCAUCAAGUUGGUGAUAAAAUCCAUUAGUUAGUACAGUAUAGUAAUAAUAUUGUAAGGAGUUAUGUGGCGUGAGGUAUAAAGUAUAAUAAUUUCGGAGUAAAAUUUAGGAUUAUUUUAUAUUUGUUGGAGUUAUUAGUUAGUCCCGAAAUUACUUAUCCCACCAUUUAUGCAUUAGUGAUGGGAUAAAUUCUUACAUAUCCAUGGUGAGAUAACUUAUCCCAAGAUAGCUAAUCUCAGGAUAACUUGUUCCCAACCAAAUGAAUAGUUUCCCGAGGUAGAACCAUCUUCGACCAUUGGAAAGAGAGAAACCGACCGGCUUCCUACUAAUUGUUACUCUAAUCCUUGACUUGGAUGCUCUUCUAUCUAGUAUUAUGUCCAUUAUGUUAUGUACAAUCACCUCCGGUCAAUUCAUCGGUCUAGCACUUCCUGUCCUAAGACCUAUUACUAUCAACUUCUUGCACCUCCUCACUAGAGAAUAUGUGCUCCUCUUCACAUGUAUGAACCAUCUCAAUGUGGCGUUCUGCAUCUUGUCCAUCACCGAAAAGCCACUCCUACCUUGUCAUGUGUAUCUUGUUACUGAUAUCAUCAUGUCCUGACAGAUAUUGAAACUUUUGUCUGCUUAUAACACAAGUAAUUUUGUUACUUUGUUAUUUUAUGAAAACAUGAAAAGUUCCAAGUUAAAAUUCAUCAGGCCUGAUAGCUUAAACUUGCUAUUUCAUAACAUUAACAUUAAGCUAACAGCGAUUUGGCUAAACUUAUAAGUUGAUCAAAUACAUUUAUAAACAUCUUUGAGCUUAUUUAUGCAUCUGGUAAACAUUCGAAAUAUUUAUAAGCAAAGUACUAUAAACCAAAAUUAAGUUGGC
Molecule: long non-coding RNA, 4232 nt
Filed under: Capsicum annuum
Lineage: Eukaryota; Viridiplantae; Streptophyta; Magnoliopsida; Solanales; Solanaceae
Description: long non-coding RNA (CANN_LNC012068)
Source: RNAcentral